Molecule: non-coding RNA, 197 nt
Organism: Camellia sinensis
Lineage: Eukaryota; Viridiplantae; Streptophyta; Magnoliopsida; Ericales; Theaceae
Source: RefSeq, a predicted model, not a curated record
GAGAGGAGAGAGAGGGAGGGAGGGAGGGAGAGAGAGAGAGAGAGAGAGAGAGAAAUGGAUCAGAUAUUGAACAAGGUUGGAUCUUACUGGGUAGGUCAGAAAGCCAACAAGGAGCUCAACUCCGUCGGCGAAGAUAUCAAUUCAUUGUCAACCAGCAUUGAAGGAGGAACCAAAUGGUUGGUUAACAAAAUUAAAGG